CAGUCGCCGCGGUAAUACAGAGGAUGCAAGCGUUAUCCGGAAUGACUGGGUGUAAAGCGUCUGUAGGUGGCUUUUCAAGUCCGCCAUCAAAUCCCCGGGCUCAACCCUGGACAGGCAGUGGAAACUACCAAACUGGAGUACGGUAGGGGCAGAGGGAAUUUCCGGUGGAGAGGUGAAAUGCGUUGAAAUUGGAAAGAACACCAACGGUGAAAGCGCUCUGCUGGGCCGACACUGACACUGAGAGACGAAAUCUAGGGGAGCAAAUGGGAUUAGAUACCCCAGUAGUCCCUGUCUCUUAUAC
RNAcentral lists this ribosomal RNA (301 nucleotides) under uncultured bacterium. RNAcentral describes it as "partial 16S ribosomal RNA". It matches the Rfam family "Bacterial small subunit ribosomal RNA", at positions 509 to 807 of the family's 1533-position model. The record is from RNAcentral.